This 90-nucleotide transfer RNA is filed under the name Desulfovibrio sp. RNAcentral's name for it is "tRNA-Ser". It matches the Rfam family "tRNA". Rfam says of the family: Transfer RNA (tRNA) molecules are approximately 80 nucleotides in length. Their secondary structure includes four short double-helical elements and three loops (D, anti-codon, and T loops). Lineage: Bacteria; Pseudomonadati; Thermodesulfobacteriota; Desulfovibrionia; Desulfovibrionales; Desulfovibrionaceae. The record is from RNAcentral.
GGAGAGAUGGCCGAGCGGUUGAUGGCACCGGUCUUGAAAACCGGCAUGGGUGAAAAUCCAUCGGGGGUUCAAAUCCCUCUCUCUCCGCCA